This 2164-nucleotide long non-coding RNA is filed under the name Citrus sinensis (sweet orange). RNAcentral's name for it is "long non-coding RNA (CSIN_LNC004076)". Lineage: Eukaryota; Viridiplantae; Streptophyta; Magnoliopsida; Sapindales; Rutaceae. The record is from RNAcentral.
UCCACCUAGGUAUCAAGCAAGCAAUAAUGAUUAUGAGACAUCUUAUGCCUCAAAUUAUUACAAUUAUUAGUUUCUAUUUGAGAGGCCAAAAUAUCAUUGGAAGUGCUGCAACGAUCCAUAAAGUCUUCUUGCUCCAAGGCAUCGUAAAUACGUCGUCCCUCCUUUUACAAUCAUCUUGUAGAAAUUACAUAUUUAGAAGAAAUUGGGGUACAAAUUUAGGGGUAAUGGGAUUCAAUCACGCAUAUAUUCAAUCAUCACAUGAUAUAAAUAUAUCAUAAAAUAUCUAGGUCUUUCCAUGAUCAUCCUUCAUGCUAUUAUAAAUGGAAAUAACAUAAAUCAUGCUUCAAAAAUUCAAAAUUGAAUGAAGAUGGCUCUGAUACCACUUGAUGGACAACAUUUGUCCAUGAGGUUUCUAAAAACGCAAUUUUGCGCAGCAAAAUUAAAACGGAUGGCGGAAGCUCUAGAAACCUCGGAUCAGCUUCAUUCUAAAACGAAAAUCAAGAGGAAAGAUUGAAGUUUAAUUACACUUGUAGUUUCAAUAACGACUUCAUGAAGUAGGAGAAAAUGACUGAAAACAGUAAGCUACGAACACUGUCCAGAAAAUAGACCUCUACACGAACAACUUCUAUUUUACCACGAUUUGAGAUCCCUAAAGCACCCCAAUUGUGAUGCCUCUAAUUAGUCCACACUUGAAAUGUUCUAGGAGUUCAUAGGAUUUGGAAUCACCCAAUUUCUUUUAGAAAAUGAGAGAGAUCAUGGAGAAACAUGAAUGCUAGUUCAUGAUGAUUCAUUCCACCAAAUAAAGCCACCAUUAUCUUUUCAAUAAUGGCACCAAACAUUAUCAUGUGCUAGACCUACCCACUAAGCCAUUAUUUAUUGAAUGUGAUCUUAUCACUUCAAUAAUUUAUUCAAUCAAAUUAUUUUGAAUAAAUAAAUAGCUAAAUUAAUUAAUUUUGUCUUUAAUUAAUUAAUCCCAUUUUGAUCAAAUCAAAUGGUUAAUUGUGGCCUUCUUUUGUGACAUGUUCUAAUGUUUUCUCCUAAUCCAUAUUAGGUCCAAUAAUCAUUUAUGAACCGGAACAUGUCCAAAAUGGUCAUUUUACGUGCUCGAUAUUAUACGUAAUGUUUAAUUGAGGAUUUAUGAAAUUUAUUUUGUUCCUUAAACUAUUUAUGGAACAUCUAAAUUUCUAUCUUAAAUCAUAUAUAUCUAUAUAUAUAUUCAUUCUUAAUGAAUUAUAAUAUACUUAAUAUCCAUCAUUACAACUUAACCAUCAUUAUUAAUGGUCUCUCUUUUUAGCAUGUUAUUCCAUUUUCAAUAAUCAAAUAUGUCUAAGCACCCUAAUAUACAUCUCAUGCAUAUUAUAGACAAACUAAUCAAGGAUGAUCAUGGAAUUUUCUAGUAAAACCAAUUUGAGCCAAAAUUGGUUUUAAGGUCCACCUAGGUAUCAAGCAAGCAAUAAUGAUUAUGAGACAUCUUAUGCCUCAAAUUAUUACAAUUAUUAGUUUCUAUCUGAGAGGCCAAAACAUCAAUGGAAGUGGUGCAAGAUCCAUUAAGUCUUCUUGCUCCAAGGCAUCGUAAAUACGUCGUCCCUCCUUUUACAAUCAUCUUAUAGAAAUUACAUAUUUAGAAGAAUUGUGGUACAAAUUUAGGGGUAAUGGGAUACAAUCAGAUCUUAAUAGAGGGAGGGACAUGCAAGUCCCUAUUUAAAAAUAUUACAACCAUUUAAGCCUUUAGAAAUGGGCCAAAUCAACAAAUAAACCAAUAGUUCAUUCAAUCACGCAUAUAUUCAAUCAUCACAUGACAUAAAUCUAUCAUAAAAUAUCUAGGUCUUUCCAUGAUCAUCCUUCAUGCUAUUAUAAAUGGAAAUAACAGAAAUCAUGCUUCAAAAAUUUAAAAUUUAAUGAAGAUGGCUCUGAUACCACUUGAAGGACAACAUUUGUCCAUGGGGUUCCUAAAAAUGAAACUUUUGUGCAGUAAAAUUAAAACGGAUGGCGGAAGCUCUAGAAACCUCGGAUCGACUUCAUUAAAAAAAUAAAAUCAAGAGGAAAGAUUGAAGUUUAAUUACCUCACUUGUAGUUUCAAAAACGACUUCGUGAAGUAGGAGAAAAUGACUGAAAACAGCAAGCUACGAACACUGUCCAGAAAAUAGACCUCUGCACGAACAGC